GGAAAAACAGGGCCACAGGCUGGGCAUGACACAUCUUGUUACCCAUGCAAUGUUGGGGUCAGAGAGUGUAGAGAGUGGUGUGGGGAGAGUGCAGGCUGAAGAGUUACCUAAGGUCAAAAUCCUGACCUAUGAGCCAAGCCAUCGAUUUGGGAUUUCUACUGAGGACACUGGAAGUCACUAAGAGCAUCUGAAUGCCUGGACCCACGCCUUCAUCAAUCUACUGUCAGGGAUAGAUUGUGCAUUUUCUGUGUCCCAGUGGGUGCCCCCCCCCCAAAAUAGAGCAGACAAAGCCUGGCCUGCGAGGGUACUGGUUUAGUUCAACAAAUAUCCAUAGAAUGCCCACUUAGGCAAAAUGGCAUAGGGCAGAUUGCCAAAAUCAGGGUUGACUCGGCCUGGAGCCAUGAAGUGGGUCCAACAGGUCUCUGAACUGAGGCAGGAGGCCCCAGGAUCCCGAGGUGUGCUGUAAAGCCUUUGAUGACAGCAUCUUGUGCCUAACACCUGACCACAUCUGAGCCACUAGAGACAGUACCUGAUAAGGAUGCAGAUGCCUGGGCCCUACCUUCCAAAGUUCUGGCUCAGUAGGUCUGGGGGAAGACCAGUAAUCUUCAUUUUAACAAAGACCACUGACGGUUCUGAUGCAGGUGGUCCAAGGACCACACCUGGAGAAACUUCCACCUCUAGGAGCAUCUGGGGUAAAAACUUCACCCAAACUUCCUAAGGUCACAACAUAUCCCCCCCAACAGAGGAAGCAGUAACUUUUGGCCACAGCCCCUAGAGAGGGGAUUUGCCUGGCGUUUCUAUACUGUCCUCUGUCCAAGGACAAAGUGUGCCUUACCCCACAACUGCUUUGUGGUUAAAAGCUUCUAUUGAGGGAUAGUUUAUUUACUUCUAGCACUAUGAAGCAAUAUAGUGAGGUUUUUGUUUCCUUUGAAUCCCAGUCAUUUUAUGCUGCAGAAAAUCUAGAGUUUUUGCCACAGUGGAGGACUCUGCUUAAGGACUACCUAUCUGGGUCUGGUAAUAGCUACCCCAACCCAACGGUCCUGAACGAGUAAUAUGGUUCGACUGUUUCCCUCCCCACCUCCAAAUCUCAUCUUGAAUUGUAGUUCCCAUAAUCCCCACGUGUUGUGGGAGGGACCUGGUGGGAGGUAAUUGAAUCAUGGGGGCGGUUAGCCUCAUGUUGUUCUCCUGAUAGUGAGUUCUCACAAGAUCUGAUGGUUUUAUAAGGGGUUUUUCCUCCUUUUGCUUGGCACUUCUUGCUGCCACCAUGUGAAGAAGGACAUAUUUGCUUCCCCUUAUGCCAUGACUGUAAGUUUCCUGAGGCCUCCUGAGCCAUGUGGAACUGUGAGUCAAUUAAACCUCUUUCCUUUAGAGAUUACCCAGUCUCAGAUAUGUCUUUAUUAGCAGAGUGAGAAUGGGCUAAUACAAUGAGAUAGAACUUAAAUCCCCUGCAUGCUCAUCAGAGGAGGCUCCAUAGAAGAUCAUGGACCUUGAACAAGGUGCAAGUAAGCCUAGAUGCAAUGCAAUGGAUUAGGGAUUCCAGGCUUGAAAACCAGUGGGAAGGAAGGGGUCAGGUGGGAGUGGUCCUCAGUUCCUGUGUGGGCUCUGGCAUCAGGCAGCACACAGGAGUCUUCCCUGCUGGUGGGGAGAGAAAGAGGCAGUAGAAGGGGUCCCGAGCUGGAAGGAUCAGCAGCCACUGCAGACUACUGAUGGAGGCAGUGCCAGGGAGGAAGAGGGUCGUGCCUAGUGGUGUCCAGGCAUUGGCAUGCAGGAGGCAGUCCAGGCACUGGUACCCGGGAGAGUUAAAACUGGGGGAAGGGAAGACAGCAGGGGAUUCUCACAAGGAAUGUGGAGCAGAGGCCCAGGCAGGGGGCCAUCAAGGUGGAGAGGACUGAACCUGGAAAUGGAAGCUUUCCAAGUCACACAUUGAAGAGUAUCAGCAAGGUCUUAAGCCCUGGAACAGUGAGGGAUGGCAUCAGGACAAACUGAGGUCAGUGAGUGUGUUGGCAGCGGACCAGGCUCCGAACGGCACAAACUCCGUCUGGGAUGGGGAAUCUAGCAGAAGACCUAGGAAGAAUUUGAAGAGGGUUCAGAGGUGAAUUAGGGAUGCUUGUAGCUUUUGUGUGGGCAGUGCGUUACUGGGGUGUAGUCCUCAUUGAAGGCCCAAGAUUCUGCCUCUAAGGGUGUAACUCUGCUGAAUCCAGCACCUGAGAGGCUGUCCAGAGCAGGCAGGAGGUCAGCUGUCAGGCUGUGGGCCCAGUUUUAGAGUCAAAUUGAAUUUCCAGUGGGGAAGACCAAAGCUGAAGUCCAUCCCCCAGAGGAUGAGAGAAAGGAAGGCUGCAGCUCAGGCAGCUCAGGGAGUCUGAGGCAGCAAACGAGCUCUGGACCUUGAAGUGGGGAGAGGAAGUCCUUUCACCUCAUCACAGUGCUCACAUCACCUCAGAAACCAGGUGGGACACACAGCUGUGACAGGAUACUGGAUCAUACCCCAAGAGAAAGGGGAGCUCCAAUGGAAAAGCCACCUGCAUCAUGAUGCUGCCUGUCACUUGACUGAGCGUUCCUGCUGCCCAGAAGCUCCUGUUGUCCUCCCAACUGACGGGAUGCUCUUGGACAGUGAUGCCAGCUGGAAUUAAGACUGGGUUUCCAAGGCCACUGUGACCACCAUGAUUAAUCAAUCCCUACUGCUAGGGCUCCAACAUGCCUCAGCCAGAAAGCUGUCAUCUCUUUCCUGGGAACAUUCCUUAAGAAAGAACCAUCAUGGGGUUGGAUGAAACUAAACUUGCAAAGAAGGUGAUGUGUAACCAAGUUGGAGUGUGGAGUGUGGGGUCAAAGAUGAUGGCAUUCUGUGUGGAUCCGCAGUGGUAGGAAUGGAGGUGAGGAGGAAGAAAUGAAUCCAGGAGGCAGCGUGACAGAAAACACAGACUUUGGUGACGACAUGUGAGAAGCUGUAAACUGAUAAGAAGAAAAGACGUCUCCAGCACGUUUGGGUUAGUGUCAUCAACCCAUGGAUCCUGCCCACAGCAAGACUUGGCCCAGUCACAACCCCCUUUCUAGCAAUGUGGAGAUAAAUGUCUUCAACAGAAAGGGUUGGGAAUCCCAUGUGACAGCCGAGCUCUGUUCUGCCUUUGACAGAGUCUGAUGCGAAGUGGAUCAUCUCAGGGAUGUGCCUUGCUGGCUUCACCCACCUGGAGCCUCAGGGGAAGUCUCAGGUGGGAGAUGUUAAUUUGAGAGGCCUGGGUAUAAAAGUAAUCCCAAGAUGUCACAAGAUAGAAUACUUUCUCUGAGGCACAAACAGGGAGAAAAACAAGAACAGAACCCCUUAGCAGGACACUCAUAAUAAGAAGAAUUAGGAAAAGAAAAGGGAACCCGGGGUGACACAAAACUGGGGGAGUCUGUUACCACAAGGUAGAUGGCUACCUCCAGUUGGACAAAUUUCCAUGGACCACCAUGCAAUUUCUGGAGAUGCCGCCUUUGAUCCCCUCUUCUCCCUUUGCUCCUCCCUCAUCUCCACACUCAAAGUGCACAUUAUUCAGAUGUCCAGCACGCCCCUAAAUCAACUUGACUUCUCUUGUUCCUUGGCAGAUUCAAGGACCAGCCUUCAUUGGAUUUGGGGUGGAAGCUACAUGCUUGUGUCAAGGGUUGUAAUCCCAAGUCUGGUCCUGUUUUCUGCAAACAAUAUCAUUGUAAACACAUUGAAUGUGUCUGAAUGGGAUUCACAUAACCUAUUCAAAGGUUAAUAUCACAAGACUGAUACUGAGCUGGAAGCUCUGAAAUGUACUUGUGCUCAGGGAAGAUAUUUGCUAAUGUUUGGCUUUAAUUUCCCCUGGAACUUGUACACAUCAGUGAGGCCUGGGGAUAAUGAAUAACAGCAUGGACAAUAAAUUUUAAAACAAACAAAAUAAAAACUCAAAGAACAUUAAUGCAGACCAGUGCUGGGAUAUGAUGUGUGUUACAAGAGAGUAAUGAUUACUCUUGGUGAGCAGAUUCUAUUAUCUGCUUCUUAGGAGCAAUAGGUGGCUGCCUCUUGAUUGUAUUAGUCCUGGAGUUAUAAAAUCCUCAGUCCUUUACAAUGCAAAAGUGACACAUGGGGCGAGUAAGCAGGUAAGAGAAGGAGCAAUUGGAGGAAGAGAAAUGAGAUCUGUGGCAGGGGCUAUUGGCUUUCCACUAAAACCCAUUCUCUACUUCUUGCUGGGCAAGAACUAGGCAGUAUUUACCAGCCCCUCUUGCAUUUGGGGUGGCCACAAACGAAUUCUGGCCAGUGGAGUGAGGGGCUUCUCAGACAGCAGCCUGCCCCUUCCACACUCCUGUUCCCCUUGCAGUGGCUCAAAGCCCUUGGGUGAUGAUGGAGCCAUAGCUGGAAGAAGCCUGGGUCCCUGGGUCCCCCGUGGAGCCUCCACGCGGGAAGGUGGUCUAGAAAUACACUUCCAUAUUUCAGCCAGCAUGCCUUGGGAUCUUUUUUUAAUGGUGGUUCAGCCUACCCUAACUAAAGCUGGGCCCACUCAGCACGCCCCACACAGGGAUUCUGAAAUGGGAGCAGGGUCCACCAAAACUCUGCUUUUCAGAGAGCUCACACCCUAGGGGAGUAUAAAAGUGACGAGGACACUGGAGCUGGCAGGCAAGACCCAGGAUGCCAAAAUUAGGGCCCCUAAACACAGCAGGGAGGGUGAGCUAUCCUCUUGUGAGGUGGGAGGAGGGUCUCCGUGAGCAGGGCUCUUCUUGGGCCAAACCUGGAUCAUGAGGAGGAGGGAGAGAUGCUGAAUAUGACAUGUCAUUCAAAGUGCUGUCUGGAAAUUUGAGUUCGUUUCUUCAGUAGAGGCAGCACAGGUUAAUCAGACAAACCAGCCAUCAACAGGCUUCCUUUGAGGAGCUUGGUAAGAAUGGAAAACCCAGGGCUGAGGGGCUUACAGAGCUUACAGAGCAGCACAGUAUCAGGGGCCCAAGGCACCAGGAGCUCCUCUGGAAAUUGGCGGGAACAGCUGGAGCAAAGCCGAGGUGAUGGUACCCCUGGUGGCGGGACGGCAGCGACCCUCCAUGGUAUAAGGAGUGGUGAGACCCCAAGGGACAGUGUGCAAGGACUCUGAUGGCAGCAACACUCCUCUAGGAGCUGAUGAGAAAGGCCUGGAAUCCCAAGAUGCACCCCUGAGGUUCAACUCCUACCCUGAUCAUCUCCUCCAAGAUUCUGUGACCUGGGGAAGUCAACAGUACAUUUCAACACCUAUGAUGUCAGCAUGUGAAUGACAUUCCAAUGCUGCUCAUGGGGUCACCCCUGCAAAGGUGAACUCAGUGGAAAGACCUUGCCAAACCGGAAGGAAAACAGGAUACUUUUCUCCAAAAUACUCAUUCAAUAAAUAUUUGCUUAGGCAUUACAAAGACAAAUAAGACUUGCCCCUACCUGUUAGAGGUAUGUAUGUCGAGAAAAGGAAGGAGUGAUUCAAUAAGAGAAACAGCAUUCAGGGAAGAGAAAGAAGGAAGACAUAAAAAUUCAGGUCAUAUUAGAAUAAUAUAUAUAACAAUGAGUUUGGCUAUAUUUCAGAAUUUUCCCAAAAUAUUUCUUUCAAAUUUGAUUGACAUUCUAAACUAUUUAGCUUGAUAUAAAUGAGAUCUUUGUGUACCCUCAGCAGGAACUGCAUUUUAGCUGGUUUUAAAUCUCAACAAUCACUUUCCUGCCUUGGAGAAGGUAUGAACCAGGCUGUUUAUGUAGAAUCCAGGUGGGUUUGAGAGCAGCUUCAGCUGAAUGGAGAGUGACAGGGAGGCUGAGGAAGGGAGGGAGGGGACCCAUGGGCUGUCAUACCCGGGGACUUAGGAAGGCUCUUGCUCUUGCUGGAAGGGUUGCAAAUCCCUAAACCAAGUAAUCCCAUCCCUAAACCAAGUAAUCCCAUUAAAACAUGAAACAUCCAGAGUAAAAUUAAGUUUAGAAUACUAUUUGCAAAGCCAAACAUAGUCUUACCAUAGGAUCCAGGCAUCACACUCCUUGGUAUUUACCCAAAUGGGUUGGAAACUUCCAUAUAAAAAUCUGCACACAGGCCGGGUACGGUGGCUCACGCCUGUAAUCUCAGCACUUUGGGAGGCUGAGGCGGAUGGAUCACCUGAGGUCGGGAGUUCAAGACCAGCCUGACCAACAUGGAGAAACCCUAUCUCUGCUAAAAAUACAAAAUUAGCCAGGCGUGGUGGCACAUGCCUGUAAUACCAGCUACUCAAGGGGCUGAUGCAGGAGAAUUGCUUGAACCCAGGAGGCAGAGGUUGCGGUGAGCCGAGAUUGUGCCAUUGCACUCCAGCCUGGGCAACAAGAGUGAAACUCUGUCUCAUAAAAUAAAUAAAUAAAUAAAUAUAAACCUACACACAGGCCAGGCAGGGUGGCUCACCCUGUAAUCUCAGCACUUUGGGAGGCCGAGGCGGGUGGGGUGGAUCACGAGGUCAGGAGAUCAAGACCAACUUGGCCAAGACGGUGAAACCUCAUCUCUACUAAUAAUACAAAAAUUAGCUGGGCAUGGUGGCACAUGCCUGUAAUCCCAGCUACUCAGGAGGCUGAGACAGGAGAACCGCUUGAACCAGGGAGUCGGAAGUUGUGGUGAGCCGAGAUCACACCACUGCACUCCAGCCUGGUGACAGAGUGAGACUCUGUCUAAAAAAAAAACCUGCACACAAAUAUUCAUGGUAGCUUUAUUCAUACUUGCCAAAACCUGGAAGCAACCAAGAUGUCCUUCAAUAGGUGAAUGGGUAAAUAAACUGUGGUACAUCCAGACAAUGCAAUAUUAUUUGGUGAUUAAAAAAAAAGAAAUGAGUUAAAAUCUUGGAUUUCUUUUUUUUAAAUGAGUUAUAAAGCCACAGAAAGACCUUAAAUACAUAUUGUUAAGUGAAAGAAGCCAGCCUGCAAAGCUACAUCUAUACAUGACUGUAUGACAUUCUAGAAAAGGCAAAACUAUAGAGACAGUGAAAACAUCAGGGAUUGCCAGGGGUUAAGAGGGAAGGAAGGAUGAAAAGGCAGAGGACAGAGGAUUUUAAGGCCGGUGAAACAAUUCUAUAUCAUACCAGAAUGGUGGAUAUAUGGGCUGGGGCUCAGAAAACAAUACCCCCAAAUGAAUGCCUCAGAAGCAAAAGUUUCUCCUGCCCUCCCAUCCCUGACCUCAUUCUCCCCCAAGGUUAGCCAUAGAAACCAGAAGUCCUCUUUCCCAAGGUGGGUCAUAGAAACUUCCAAACCCCUUUUCCCCAAAGCCAGUCAUAAAACCUAAAAAUAUGACUCUAACUUCCACCCCCACCCCACCACCUUUCUGUGUAAAAAUGUGUCAUAAGGAAAUCAUCUAACCUGCCUUGUUUGGUUGUCGGUCGUAAGACCCCCAUUCGAGAGAGGGCCCUGCCCCGUACCCAGCAGGAAGCAAUGCUGCCCAGAGAGGCCACGAGGAAUCUAGACAGGGCUUGCUGGGGGGCCCCACUCACUCUAUGAGCAUUAGCUCAUUCCCUUUUUUGUCCAAUCACAUUUCUAAAUAUUUUGUUGCACCUAAGCUUAAAAGUGGGCAGAGUCCCCUGCAUCUCUGGGUCUUCGUUCUGAAGGCUCCCCUGUCAUGUAACACUAUGACCAAAUAGAUGUGUGUGCCUUUUCUCCUAUUCAUCUGCCUUUUGUCUGUUAAUUUUCAGUGAAACUUCAGAGGGUGAAGGGGAAGUUUUCCUUGGCCCCUACACGUGUCAUUACAAACCCAUAGAAUGUACAAUGCCAAGAGUGGACCUUAGUGCAAGCCAGGGACAUUAGUCAGUAAUAAUGUUCCACGCUGACGCACAAAUGAAAGUUAUUUUAUUUGUGUGAACAGGAGAGCUGACAUGGUCUGUAUUGAUAUCUCCUGGGCAGGGAGGUGGUGAGCACGGCCCCAGAAUUCUGAACUGCCAGGAGCCAGGCAGCUUUGCAUCCUGGAGCUUGGCCAAUUCAGCCGCCCAAGUUCUGGCCAUGGGUCUGCAGCCCCCUGGCCCUUGCCUGCAUAAGCAGGAGAUGAAUGAGAGGAAGCAGAACUCACACAGGAGGCAGGAGGAAGCCACCAGGAAGCUCACUGGCUCCAGGGGCAGCAGAUCUGGGAUGGGGUCCCAGUUCUCUCCUUCCUCAUUCAUGAAAUGGGGCAAUAACAGUACUUACUUCAUUGGAGGUUCUUGGAGGGAAUAAAAGAGAUAUUAGUUAAAGGCAUGGAGCACAGUCCCUGGCACACUGAAAAAGUUUCAUAAAUGUUACCAAUUAAUUGUUUGUAUUAUAUAAUGUCUUCCUGAUAGGUUUUUGGGAAGGAAUAAAUCAAAGGUGAGAAAAUAUAUACAAAAACCUGACUGAGCGAGAACAUAGCUUACACACAAGAAGUGGCAGCUUGGUGAGCACACUGCUAUGUCAUGUUGUGCCUAGUCAUGACAUAGCCAAGGACUGAUACAGGCGCUCCCAUAACCCAUGGAUGGAUUCCUGCUGGACUCUAUUCAUGAAGGUUCUGAUUCUAAUUUUUUUAAAUCCAUGGAUAAAACAGCUACCAGAAAAUCCCAUUUGGGUUUGCAUGUUGUUCUUUGGCUUCGGUGGACAGCAAUCAUAUCAGUUGCAUUUCCCGAGCUAGAGCUCUGAGGCUUAGUCAUCCCCCUCCCUGGCUGGCUUCCAUGCUGUCUGCAGUGGGAGCAUCUUUUAUGAGAUGACAGGAGGGGACUUCAUGGAUGUGCAGCCUGGGCUGCUGGUACUGCCGGGGCUGCUGGUACUGCUGGGACUGCAGGAGAGGGAUGGUUUCUAUUAAUCCUCACAAUGGGAGGGUCCAGUGGGCUGUCACAGCACAGGCAGGGAAUCACAGGCCUCCCUGGGUGACCAGCUGUCCUGGCUGCUACCAGAUUCGGACUCCAGCAGGCUUUCCCUGGGGGCAGAGAUGACCUUGAUCUCUGGGCAGCUAGGCUUCAUGUCCUUGAUAUUUGUGGCCCUGCAUUGUUGGGGCACAGGAUGCAGAGCUGGGGAUGACUGAGCUUAAACUCCUGCUGCUAUGGAGGGCUGCCUCCUUGCCCUGAAUGCCCUGGGAGCCCUUUUAAAAACACAGGUCCAAGGAGUGAUAACAUGAGGGGCAGCACCUCUGGCCCCUGAGAGAGAAACUUGUCCAGUGAUAUGUGCACAAGCAACAUCUCCAGGCAUUCCUUCCAGACAAGGCAAGAGGCCCCCCAGGUGUGAUAUGUUAGCUACACAUGGGCUUGGUCUGUACUGCAAAUGUGUACUCAGUGAUGGGGCCAUUAGAUAUUUGGUUUCUACAUUGCUGCGAUGAAAAUUUACAAAGAACGUUCAUGGGGAAACCAGCUCCCAUCCAUGGGCAGCAGAGGAAUGUUGUCCAAGACUUACAUGGACAGGUAAGACUAAGGUCUCAUCCCAUACUCAGCAGUUCUGUGACCUUUUACAGAACAUAGGGAGGCAAGAAGGGAAAUGAGCCUUAGUUAGCCUCAGGGAGAACCAAGCCAGGUCUGUUUAGGGUCACCACCUUCACUGAACUGCCCUCCACUGGAGGCUAGGAACUGCAGGACAUGAGUUCAACAUCAAAAUAGUAAAAAUAGUGGCAAAUGUUUAGCAGUGUUUGCAACAUAUCAGGUGUCACAGCAACCUCUGCAGGAGAGGUGAGCAGGGCUAAUAUUUAGCAGGUGCACCCUUGUACUGGCUGCCUGCCAUUUAAUAGGUUAGUGCCUCAGCUGGUUAUUGAAUAUUUUCAACAUCGGCCCUGGGUACUAAGAUUAGUUCCCAUUUUACUGAUUAGGAAAUCGAGGUUAAGAGAGGGUAGGCGAUUUGCCUGAGAUCACACAGCCUCGUGUGUGGCAGAGCCUUAGAUUCCAAGCCAGGCUGUCCGAUGCCAGACCUUCACAGCUAUCCUAUGCUUCCACGGCACCCCGGACUUCCCCUUGGAGCACUUGCCAGUGAAACAAACAUGCCCUGGAGAAAUGCCUGGGAGUCCCACAGUGGGUAGGAGCACCAGCUGUUCAACAAGAGAAGACCAUUAGGCUUCAGGAGGGAGAGGAAGUUUUUUUGGGAAUGAGAGGACCAAGAGAAAUGAGGCACAGGGGAGAUCGGCCCCAAGGCUUGUCCUGAAAAAAGAACAUCAUCUUCUUCUAAGGUCCCGAGCGUGGGAUUUAUCUGACACAUUCUUCCACAUGCUUAUUGCAGGAGGAGCGUUGUGUUAAGUGCUUUGCAUGCAUUAAUUAUCUCAUUUAAACCAAAACCAACCCAGUGUGGCUGAGUGACUAUAUGAUGUCCAUUUUACAGAUGAGGAAAGGGAGGCUGAGAGAGCUUAAAGGACACACCACUUUUGAGUGGCAGAGCUAGGAUGCAAACCAGACCUGACUGCUGUUAAAGCUUGUGAUGUUUGUAGUCAUUCUUCUAUACUGUACCCUCAUAGGAAGUUCAAAAACAGAGAGGGUGGGAUUUGGUCUUUGGCUUUUGUUUAAAUGUAUGUUUUUAUAGAUAUAUUUCCUUAGCCCAUGCUAUGAACCAGGAGUUUCCAUUUGUUUAUUUAACUGAUUUAUUAAGCCUUUUUAGGGGCCAGCCCAGGUUCUGGGCACAAGCUGGAGAAGGAGAGCUGCUGCGGUCCCUAACUCAUGCCUCUUGCGGCAGUGGGUGGGUGUGAAGAGGGAGGAGGGGAGGAGGUGGUGAGAAGUCUGCUUCACAUUAUUCAGAGUUUCCUGUGAGCCAGGCACUGUGCCUGGGGCUAAGUGAUUAUAUCAUUUAGCCCUCCCAAUAGACUCUCAGGUAGACGCUCUCUUAUUUCCACUUUUUCCCAUUUACAGAUGGGGAAAUGAAGACUUAAGAAACUUAGGUAAUCUGCCCAAAGGCUUAUAGCCAAUACAUGGUAAAGCUGAGAUGUGAACUCAAGUAUCUGACUCCAAAGCCUGGGUUUUUUCUCUUUCUCUCUCUCUUUUUUUUUUUUUUUUGAGACAGGGUCUCACUCCUUCACCCAGUCUGGAGUGCAGUGACAUGGUCAUAACUCACUGUAACCUCAAACUCCUGGGCUCAAGUGAUCCUCCUUUCUCAGCCUCCUGAGUAGCUGGGACUACAGGCACACACUUUUAUGCCUGGAUAAUUUUUGUACUUUUUUUGUAGACAGGGUCUUACUGUGUUGCCCAGGCUGGUCUGGAACUCCUAGGCUAAAAUGAUCCUCCUGCCUCAGCCUCCCAAAUUGCUGGGAUUACAGGUGUGAGCCACUGUGCCCGGUCAAAGCCUGUGCUUUGAUUUGCCACCUAAUCCUCCUCCGUUUUAUAUGUAAUGUUAACCCCAAACCUGCAGGGUAGCCGUUAUCAGCCUCAUUUAACUGACAGGGAAGCCCAGUCUCAGAGGGGCCAGAUGCGUGCCCAAGGCCUUGCUGGGAAGAAUGGGAUUCUGGGCCCAGGCAUUCCAGCGCCAAGUCCAGGGCGUGAUUGUUACUCUGCAGUCCCUCUCUGUGACAAGAGCCUCACCGGGAACUCGGGGGUGGGGGCUCCCCCAAGCCUCCUGGCUGGACCCCAUUCCAAGCGUUAGUGUAACAGAUGUUGUGUGGCGGGAGUCUGUUGUGCUCCUGGUGUGUGGCUGGGAUUCAGAGGUGUCUUCAAGCGCUCUAGGAAGCCGGCGGGCGGGGCCAUGGCCGCAGAAGUGAGUGCAGGGAUGGAGAAUACAGGGAGUCCCUUGACCGGAGGAGACUUUGGAGGCAUUUGUGCUGUUCGCGUGAACUCCGCGUCCAUGGCCUACCCUGUGAUUGUCAUCAUUUCUAUGUGAGAAAAAAGCGGCUACUGAUUCACAGCGAAAGGAAACGGACUAGGUUCUGAAACUUCCUGUUUGUCUGGUAUCUGCAAAGAUAUGUGUGUUAUGCAAAUACCCUGACUCCCCAGAACUGCAGGUGUGUACAAACACACACACGCACGCACACACACACACACACACACACACACACACACACCCUCUGCUUGGCCCCAUGCAGUGGGUCUCCUCUGUACCCAGUAAACUGAAACAUGACUCUACUAACAUGGUAGCCAGGACACUGGGGACUCUGCUGUCGGAAUCCCUGAUCAUAGAGACAGCAGCUUUGGCCUUCGGCUCAAAGAGCUUCACAGAUGUCCCUUGUAGGCGAGUCCUGGCUCUGGCUCCUGGCCCACUGCAGAGCCUGGGAGUGAGGCAGGCAGAUAGGCGAGGGGGUCUCACCCAGGCCCAGGAACUCCAUUUUCUCUCAGCCCCAUUCCUCCCUCCCUCGGCUCCCUGACCGUGCUGAACGCAGCUCCCAAGCAGGGGGAGAGUCCAGAUAAUGGCAGAUGUUGAUUGUUUCCUGUUGGUUCACUGUGUCCUUUUGGCAGGCCUUUCUUUCUUUCAAAAUAUAUUCAGGUUUGAGCCUAGCACUGCAGCUUGCUGAGUGGGUCUAUGCUUCCAUAGAGCAGUGGCUUCGGGCACAGGCCUGAGACCCAGCCUGCCUGCGGGCUGCUAGCUGCCAGCUACCUCUGCACUAGGAAGGUUUUUAAACAGCUGAAUGCAAGCUUCAGCGUUAAUAGGUGAAAGUGAAAAUGACAUGUGACUUCUAGACAAUUCUCAUAGAUUCAAAAUAAUUGUUCUCUGUAAUGAGUAAAAUAACACUCUUGCAACAGCUGAAUGCUUUUCUCAUAUUCUGAGUUGCCCGAAUUAGGGGAAAUGGGUCUAAAUGGCUGCAAGAGGCAGUUUUGUCAGCUAGACGUCUUUUUACAAGUAUAUUGCAUCCUUCAGUCUCUUCCUGCCCCACCCUAAGACCCUCACCUGGGAAAUGGGAGGAUGGCUUGGAAGGCAAUUGUCAGGCCUCUGAGCCCAAGCUAAGCCAUCAUAUCCCCUGUGACCUGUACAUACACAUCCAGAUGGCCCGGUUCCUGCCUUAACUGAUGACAUUCCACCACAAAAGAAGUGAAAAUGGCCUGUUCCUGCCUUAACUGAUGACAUUACCUUGUGAAAUUCCUUCUCCUGGCUCAUCCUGGCUCAAAAGCUCCCCCGCUGAGCACCUUGUGACCCCCACCCCUGCCCGCCAGAAAACAACCCCUUUGACUGUAAUUUUCCUUUACCUACCCAAAUCCUAUAAAACAGCCCCACCCCUAUCUCCCUUCGCUGACUCUCUUUUCGGACUCAGCCCGCCUGCACCCAAGUGAAAUAAACAGCCUUGUUGCUCACACAAAGCCUGUUUGGUGGUCUCUUCACACGGACGUGCGUGAAAGCGAUGAAGCUGAGGUUGCAGGAAAGGAGUGAUCACCUGGCUCAGAGCUGGGCCCUAAAAGUCUAGGCCAGAGCCUCCCUGUUGUGAAAGGGAGUGGAAGGAGAAGGGGCUGGGAUGGGUCAAACUGGGUGGAAAGCUAGGCUCUGCUGUUUAGAAGCUGUAUGAUCUUGAGCAAGUUGCUUAACCCUUGCUAAGCCUCAGUUUCCCUUCCUGCAGAAAGGGAUUAUCAUGGGGACGAAAGGGGAUCCAGAACCUGGAGUGGAGGAUAGGGUGGGUAAGUGGAAGGUGUCAUGAGGACAACAUAUGCUGAGACACUCACCACCCUUUCUGAGGGCGCCUCAGCAGCAGGUCACAUGGUGCCUGAAACUCGUUUUUCUGAGUUGUGCUGGUUUGUGGAAUGAAAAGGGAAGCCAGGCUUCCUUCUUACUAGCUCUGACUGCCUUGUUUUAAGGAUCAUUCACCUUCCCUAAGGAUGGGAUAAAGCCUUCCUGUAGAGCAGACCGAUCUCCUUCUUUAUCCCUACAGUUCUCCCACCGUGGCCAUGGCCUUGGGGGCUGUUCUGACUCUUACAUUUAUAUAUCACUCCUACUUUCCCAGCCAGCAGGAUAGAAAACCUGAGAAGGGAAUUCUGCCUUAUAAACAUUUCUUACAGAUGGGGCAGACAGGUUGUUUCUUUUUUACCAAGGAAGCUCAGGGCAAUUCUGGUUGCAGGAAUGUUAAGCACUGAUAAAGAAGAGAAGAAAAAAUAUUCACCCUCCAGGGCCUGGAAUUUCCCCAUUCCUGAGCCCUGGCUUCCCUGUCUGAGAUAGAGACUGUCAGUCAGUCACCUACCAAUUCCCAAUUUCUCUUUCUGCUUUACUAAAAGUACUUGAUUUGGGAUGGGGGUGGGGGGUGGCAGGCAGCAAUACAUCCAAGUAAAAGACUGUACUUCCCAAAUCUCUUGAAACUAGGGACAGCCAAUGAGGUAUAAAUGAAAAUUAUUGGGGCUGGGGUCCCAAAAGCUUCUCUCUCUUUUUUGAGACAGAGUCUCAGUUUGUCAUCUAGGCUGGAGUGCAGCAGCAGGAUCACAGCUGUAAAAUCAAAAGUGUCAAAGACAGGUCUCAAUCAAUUUAGAAAGUUCAUUUUGCCAAAGUUAAGAGCACACCUUUAACCUCAGGUGAUCCUGACAGCAUGUACCCAAGGUGGUUGGUGCCCAACUUGGUUUUAUACAUUUUAGGGAGCAUAAGGCAUCAAUCAAUAUGUGUAAGAUGUACAUUGGUUUGGUCUGGAAAGGUGGGACAACUGAAAGGUGGGACUUCCAAGUCAUAGGUGGAUUCAAAGAUUUUCUGAUUGGCAAUUGGUUGAAAGAGUUAUUAUCGAUAGAAAAGAAUGUCUGGGUUAUGAUGAGGGGUUUUGAAGGGAGGAGGGUAGAAUGAGGCAUGUCUGACUCCCCCUUCCCAUCAUGGCCUGAACUAGUUUUUCAGGUUAACUUUGGAAUGCCCUUGGCUAAGAGGAAGGGUCCAUUCAGAUGGUUGGCGGGGGGGCCUUAGAAUUUUAUUGUUGGUUUACGUGGCUCAGUGCAGCCUUCACCUCCUGGGCUCAAGUGAUCCUUCCAUCUCAGCCUCUUGAGUAGCUGUGGCCACAGGUGCAUGCCACCAUGCCUGGCUAACUUUUUUUUUUGGUAGAUAUGGGGUCUUGCCAUGUUGCCCAGGCUGGUUUUGAAUUCCUAAGCUCAAGUUAUCCUCCUGUUACAGGAAAGGGGUCCUGAUCCAGAUCCCAAGAGAGAGUUCUUGGAUCUCACACAAGAAAGAAUUCGAGGUGAAUCCAUAGAGUAAAGUGAAAGCAAGUUUAUUAGGAAAGUAAAGAAAUAAAAGAAUGGCUACUCCAUAGGCACAGCAGCUUCCAGGGCUGCUGGCUGCCCAUUUUUAUGGUUAUUUCUUGAUUAUAUGCUAAUUAUUUAGUGUUUGCAAAAAUAGCCAGGCUAUAAGGGGUGGAUUAUUCAUGAGUUUUGUGGAAAAGGGGUGGGCAAUUCCCAGAGCUGAGGGUUCCUCCCAUUUUUAGACCAUAUAGGGUAACUGCCAGAUCUUACCAUGGCAUCUGUAAACUGCCAUGGUGCUGAUGAGAGUGUCUUUUAGCAUGCUAAGGCAUUAUAAUUAGCAUAUAAUGAGCAGUGAGGACAAUCAGAGAUCACUCUUAUCACUAUCUUGCUUUUGGGGGGUUUUAACCAGCUUCUUUACAGCAGCCUGUUUUAUCAGCAAGGUCUUUGUGACCUGUUUCUUGUGCUGACCUCCUAUGUCAUCCUGUGACUUAGAAUGCCUACCCUUCUAGGAAUGCAGCCUAGUAGUUCUCAGUCUUAUUUUACCCAGCCCCUACUCAAGAUGGAGUCCCUCUGGUUCAAAUGCCUCUGACACUCCCACCUCAGCCUCCCAUAGUGCUGGAAUUACAGGCUUGAGCCACUGCACCUGGCCUUAAAAGCUUCUUAAAGGGAUCUAAGAAAUUGACUCUCCCCACCCUCUUUCUUAACCGUAAAACACUAAUGUAAUGGCUGGAGUUCUAGCAACCAUAUUGGGCCAUGAGGCAACCUUGAAAAAGGAAGCCACAAACUAAAACAUUGACUCUCAACCUUUAAUGCUGAAAAAAGAAAAAGUAUCCCCUGACAUCCGGGAAAUGGCCUGACACUUUGAGCUAGGGCUUAAUCUUAUUAAAAGCUUGCCUGGCUAUUUUUGCAAACACUGAUGUCAGUCGCCAGUCUGCAACUGUGAUGAAGAGGUCAAAAGAGACCCCUUCCUAACUCUGUCUAAGCACAAACAACUCCACAAAACACUAGACACACCCCCUUCUGGCUCAUUAAGUGACAGGGGCCUCCUUAUCAACUAUAACUAUAGCCUUGAUCUUGUCUUCUGUCCUUAUAGAUAAGAUUUACUAACAUACCCAGCUGCAGAAUUGUCCCAUUUCCAGACAGCAGACAAUGCAGAGCAAGCCCUUCCCUCCUAGACCCUCCCCAAAUUCACCUAACCAAAGCCCAAAGCCUAAAAGUCCCUUUGAACACCUUUUUAGUGAAAUGGUGCCCCCAUGAUAUCUUCCUCAUUGCAACCAGUAAUAAAGCCAACUUGUUCAAAUGCCGGUUUGCAAAUAAAUCACUUGGGGAUUUGUUAAAAUGCAGACUGUGGUUCAGUAGGUCUGAAGUAGAGCUUAUUCUGUGUUUGCCACAAGCACCCAGUGAGGCACUUGCUGCUGGACCAUGGUCCCACUUUGGGUAGCAAGGCAGUUAAGGGUGGCAGAUUAGAACACUGGACAUGCUUAACCUUGACCAUGGGACCACUGUAUGCAUCCUGUUGUUUCUCAGUGAAAAUAUGCCUGUAUUUCAUGUAAGCCCCCGCUAUAUAUGUUGGCUACUAGCAACUUAACCAACACGUUGUCCUUGUCCUUAGAAAAUGUGUGGUUACAGCCAGGUGUGAGCAGGCCUAGACCAGGCUUGGGGAUUUAUUGACCAAAUGUGGUGCCUUUGAGGUGAAACCACAAGUAAUCAGAGAAGCUGAGUCACUCCACUUAGUGGACUGGUGGAAAAUUCUCAAAUGGUCUUAAGCUGGCCCCAUGUUGGGCUGAGGACUAGAGAUCUCAGAGGCUCCACCUGCCCAUCCAAUUGCAGGUGUCUGGGCCUGGCCCCACCUUGCCUUCCUGCUCCAUUGCUCACCAUUCCACACCCAAAGGCACCAUGAUGUUUUGUACCUCCUUGCCUUUGCUCUUCCCUUUGCCAGGGAUGCCCUUCCCACCUUCCUCCACGUGGCUAACCCUCCCUCAGCUCUGCUUCCAGGGUGUCUCCCCUGGUCGCCAAGGGCUGGCUAGUGCCUCUUCUUUGCUCCCAGGGCACCCUGUGCCUUUCUGUGCCCCAACUAUUUCCCAGUUUGUAGCAGUUAUUUAUUUUGUGGUCAUCUUCCCACUGGUCGUCAGCUCCUAGAGGGCAGGGAUCAUGUUUUGGGUUAUUCAUCACUGCAUCCCCUGACAUAGUCCCCAAACCUCGAGAACUAUGAAACUGCACCAAAGGUUCCAGCUCCCCCACAGCCUGCCCUUAACCUUGAGCCAUUUGAAGGGAGAGUAUGAGACAAUAGUGAAAGAAACCCUUCUCUAAUGUUUUCCCCAUUUAGGUUAUGUGAAGUUGGCAGUUCCCAAGGGCUUUAGGCUUGAAGCUGUGGGUCAUACCCCUUCGGAAACUUGGUCCCCAAGAGAAAUGUAUGCUUCUGAAAACCACAGGUGCAUGAAUCGUGUUUAGUAAAUGACUACUAAACUGAAAUCAGGACUUGUCUAUAUCUUGGCUUCUCAAACUUGAAUAUGCUUAUCAUCUGGAUAGCAAAAGCAUUCCUACACGUUGAGGCCUGCCAGCGUGGGUGUCACCCAGGAGCCACUCGGAAAGGCUCAUCGGAAACCACCCCGGACUGACUGAGGCAGAAUCUCUGGGGGCAGGACCCAGGCCUCAGCAUAAAAACUCCAGGUGACGGAAGAGCUCCCACCUAACAGGUGUGUUGGCAUUGUUGUAGGUGACUGACGUAGUUUCCCAUCUCACAACUCUACCUCCAUGAAGAAAAGUCAUGGAAAAUUGAGACUUUGGGCUGAGUGUGGCUCAUCCCUGUAAUCUUAGUGCUUUGGGAGGCUGAGGUAGGAGGAUCGCUUGAGGCCAGGAAUUUGAGGCCAGCCUGAGCAACAUAGUGUCUCUUCAAAAAACUAAGUUUAUUCUUUCCUCUUUUUUAGUUUUUAUUUUACACGGCUCACUGUGGCUUUGACCUCCCAUGCUGAAGCGAUCCUCCUAUCUCAACCUCUCAAGUAGCUGGAAGCACAGGCAUGCACCACCACACCUGGCUAAUUUUUUUCUUCCUUUUUUAAAGAGACAGUCUUGCCAUGUUGCCCAGGCCCUGUUGACCAGGAAAAAAAAAAGUUUUUUUUCUUUUUUAAAGAAAGAAAAUAAAAGAGACUGAGAAACCACAGAAAUAAAGAAGCGCUGAUGACAAUGCCUGCUUGCUGAUGGUUACGAUGAUCAUAGCAGUGUGCAUUUUGUAUGCAUGAAGCCUGCGACUAAAUAAACGUGUGGGGAAAUAUUUGUAAGGAAAUAAGCUAUUAAUAAAAUAAGCUAAAAUCACAGUUGCUGGACUAUGACUGAUUUUUCCCCUUUCUCUCAUUUAAAAUUAAAUAUUUGUAUGACUUGUAUAAUAGAAAAAUACAUGUAUUCAAUCUUAAAAAGAUAUUCUUAUUUUACACUUUACGGGACAAAAGAGGUUGUAGGUUGGAAUGGUUCAGUCCCCUUGUGACAACUCAAAAACAGAGACCUUAAGCCUUUCUCAACCAAUGUUGCGGGACAAGCAGGCGUGUGAGGCGACAAUGCCAUUAGGGUAUUUUUUGGAAAAAUUUUAGUGUGAGAGACAAAAGCCAAAUUCAAACUGGCCUGAGCCAAAAUAGGUAGGAAAGGGAGAAGCGGAGACAGGGAGGAAGAAAGAGAGAGAACAGAAAGAAAAAGGGAGAAAUGUCGAAAGGCAAAAUUACAACACAUUUAGUUAAAUGAUUGAAUUGGUUUUUAUUUGUAAUUCAUGAAUUGGGGCAGCAUCUCCUCUAAAACUUUAGGAAAAGUGCUCUGAUGAGCUAAACAGAGAAGCUUGGCUUUAUAGGCAGAAAAGGGUGAAGAAAGCAGACACAGGGAACAAAAAGCAGAUUGGUAAGCUCAGGUUACUUCAGGUUACUUUCCUUAUAAAGGUUAAAGUAGAGGGGACUUCCUUAUCAUGCUGGCUACAACUGGCCUGUUUGGGGAUUUGCAUAUUAUCUCUCUCUGUCUUGAGUUCUGGGAAGGUCUGAUGACUUAGUUUCAGUUUGGUGAUAUGGAACUUAGCAUGAGUGACUCCAUCUUGGUUUGGUCUACUGGGGCCUCCUGCAGGAGCUCAGCCCAAAUCAGUGACCUCCUAUAAAUUUCAUUUAAUAGAAAAGGAAGGAAGGAAGGAAGGAAGGAAGGAAGGAAGGAAGGAAGGAAGGAAGGGAGGGAGGGAGGGAGGGAGGGAGGGAGGAAGGGAGGAAAGAAGGAAGGAAAGAAAGAAAGUUGCUUAUAAGUUGCUUAUAACUAAAAAGACCAGCUGGACCCAGGAGCUCUGAGGUUGCUUUCAGGCCUCUGUCCAUCUCUUAGUUUUCCAUCCUCAGACAGGCUCUGCCCUGCCUUACAGUCUAGCAUUGUUGGCCAAAGGUGACUGACUGGCCCAGCUUGGGCUAUAUGUCCUUCCCUGUGGCCAGAGAGAUGUGUCUCUGUGAUGGCCAGGCUUGGGUCACGUACUCCCUCCCCUACCAGAAUCACAUGAAAAGAGGGAGGAAGAGCCGCUUUCCACCAAAGGAAACUGAAGUGCUAUUGUCAGAGGGGUUGCUGGGCAGACCAAAAAGAUGACAAUAUCUGCUCCAAUCGCUCGGGUUGUUGGUGCUUGGCAGAUUUGCCCCUACGUCACUUUUCAGAUGUGGAUAAGACUGAAGGUGACCACAGGCUUCCGAGAGGAAAGCUGCCAAUGGGGGUGUGAGAGGAGGGGGAAUUCUUACUCACCAAGGUUAACACUGUGCACACUGUUCUCCGAGGAAGUGGGAAUUUCCACAUGGUGAGUUCCCUUCCCUGUACAAUGAAUUACUAUCUUGAUGAGAAACCCGUGGGCAGCUGGUUGAGAAGAGAAAGGUAUUCUCUGAAUGAGAGGGAAUUUACCACCUUCCUUUCAAUGGUGACAGUUUUUUCUGGUGUCACCGCAGGGUGUGGAUUGAUUCAUAUACAAAUAUACAUAUCUACAUAGAUGCCAUUCUGCUAGCCUCUGCAAAAUGCAUGCCUGGAGACCAUUUCUGCUGCCUAGGAGAUGUCAACUUUGUCACCACCACUCUCUCUCCACCACUCCCACACCCUGCAGGGGCCAGGUGUGUGGGUGGGGAGCUCCCCAGCUGGAGGCCAGAUUAGAGGUCUCUGUGUGGUGGGGAUGGGGAGGAUGGGGUGGGAAUGAGGUGGUAGGCCACUGGCAGUGGUCCAAGUUCCAUCCAGGAUCUGUCCUAGGCCUCUCCCCAGGCUGUCGCUUCCACCAUUGAAUUUCUAACCUGGAUCUCUAAGGUUAUGAAUAUCUCAUUCCCGCAUCCUGGGGUGCUCAGACAUGUCUCCCCUGAGUCUCUAGCUGGGCUCGUGGCUGUGAUCAUUGUCCUCAGAGUUCCAUCCUCCCAACAAAGGGACAGAAGAAACACAGGGCCCACUUUUCUGGAUUCUGAGUUGGAGCCAAGAAAUUCUAUCUGCUGCUUCCUUCCUGUUGAAUUAUCCCCCAAGGACCCCUUAGUCCCUCCAGUCUCCUCCAGAGGCCUAUAGCUGCCCCAGCUCCCCAUGAUGGAUACCUGGCUCUUUCCUACCCAGAGGAAAACGCAGGCCCUUCCCCAGCCCUGCACUGAACUCCUGUGAGUGGCUGAGGAGAUGAGGAGGUGUGAAGAGUGAGUGUGUUGGGGAGGGAGGGGUCCCCUGCCACCAGGUACCAAGGACUUCUGCCAGAUCACCAGAACUGACACCUGGUUCCACCGGCCAGCUGUGAAGUGUCGGCCCUGACAUCAACAGCUGACCUCCCACAGGGCCUAAGGAAACGGAAUUGUGGGUAAAUGAAACAUUUUAUUUAUUUUAUUUUGUUUUAUUUUUAUAAAUUUUUGGGGAGACAGUUUUGCUAUGUUGCCAAGGCUGGGCUUGAUCUCCUGACCUUAAGUGAUCCUCCUACCUUGGCCUCCUGUGCUGAGAUUACAGGUGUGAAUCACCAUGCCUGGCCAAGAAGUGAAUUUGUAAAAGACAUGAGGAAAGGCCUGGUGGAAAGCUAACAGUGAAAAAAAUUUUCAAUACUUGCUAUAGAAACUAAAGAAACUCACAAUAUUUUGCUCUCUAUUGGAUCAUUUCCAUCAACAUACAAAUAAAUACCUGUUAUUUUUUCCAUCUUUAAAAAAAUGCCUUCAUUAUAAGUGAUUCAACAAAUUAAUAAACGAGAAGGGAAAAAUCUUCUCUAUAGAAGAAUUCCAAAUAGCAUAUGUAGAUACUCUCCCCUCCAGGAAGCCGAGCUUAAAUCCACUCUCUUUGAGAGUGGACUGGAUUUAGUGACUCACUUCCAAAGAGUAGAGUAUGGAAAGGGAAAAUAGUAACUUUAUAGGAAAGAAACCCAGCAGGUACCUUGUUAACCAAAUGAUGAAGGUUAACAUCACCGCUGAUAAGUCAUGUUGCUAUCAUUCACCCGCUGAUACGAUCUCAUGAGAAGGGCAAUUCCCGACUGUGGUAUUCUUCAAAUCUAUUGAGUUAUAAGAAAACAUGAGAUAAACCCAAACUGAGGAACAUUCUACAGAAUACAUGACCAGUAUUCUUCAAAGCCCUUAAGGUCAUGAUAAACAAGGGAAGACUAAGAAGUGAUCACAGAUUGGGAUGACUGAGACAUGAUGACAAAAUGCAGAGUGAUAUCUUGGAACAGAAAAAAGACAUUAGUGAGAAAAUUCAAAAAACUCUGAUUAGAGUUGAUAGUUGGGCUAUUAGUUUUAUACCAAUGUGAAUUUCUUAGUUUUGACAAAUAUACGUGAGGGAAAGCUAGGCGAAGGGUAUUCUGGAAAUCUCUACCCUGUACUGUCUUUUCAACUUUUCUAUGAAUCUAAAGCUCUUCCAAAGAUAAGUCUAUUAAAAAAAUAACAAAAACUUCCUCUAAAAUUUAAAGACGGACAAUAUCAGGUGUUGAUAAAUCUGUGGAGAAUUUGGAGCUCAUACAUUGCUGGUGAGAAUGUGAAAUUAUGUAGUUAUUUUGGAAAACAGUUCGGUAGUUCUUAUAAAAUGAAAGAUACAUCACUAAAUGACCCAACGAUUCUACUCCUUGAUAUCUACCCAGUAGGAAGGAAAUGAUGUCCGUACAAAGACUUGUAUACAAAUAUUCAUACCAUUUUUCAUCAUAAUGGCCCAAAACUAGAAACAACUCAAAUGUCCAUCAACAAGUAAUGGGUAAUCAAAUUGCGGUAUAUAUAUACAAUGAAAUAUAACUCAAUAUAAAGUAAGAAACUACUCAUAGAUACAGCAACAUGGAUAUUUCUCAAGUAUAUGCUGAGCAAAAAAAGCCAGACACAGGAGCACAUCCUAUAUGAUUCAAUUUAUACGACAUUUUAGAAAAGGCAAAACUAAUCUCAGAGACAGAAAGCAGGUCUGUGGUUGCCUGGAGCUGCGGAUUGGGGAGGGGAUGAUGGGAGAGAUUGACAAAAGGAGCACAAGGAACCUUUUGGGGUGAUGCUGGUAAUAUAUAUCUUGAUUGUUGUGGUGGUUACAUGGAUGCAUACAUUUGUCAAAAAUCAUUAAACUGUAUACUUCAAAUUUAUUAUAUGUAAAUUAUGCCUUAAUAAAGUUGAUUUUCUGAAAAGCUUUCUUUGAUCCGUUUACCCUGCCAGCUCCCCUUUUGCAAGACUCCUGAAAGAGCUGCUGAUACUCACUGUCUCCACUUCUACCCCAUAUGUUCUUUCUGAAGCCCACCCCAGCCAGGCUUCUAUUCCCAUCAUGCCAUGGAAACCAUUCUCAUCAAGGCGGCAGUGACCUCCGUGUUGCUAAAUCCAAUGAGCACUCACCACUUUCCAGUACAGUAUAUUAUUCAACCUGCUUGUUUAUUUUGUUUACUUUUCAUUGUCUAUCUACUCAAAGGCAGGAAACUGCUUUGUUCACGGCUGUAUCCCAAGUCCUAGAGUAGUGCCUGGCCCGUAGUAGCUGCCCAGUAGGUACUUGUUGAAUGAAGUAAUAAAGUUUCACCAGCAAGAGCAAACUUCCUACCUCUGGCCUAUCAGCCCAGGUCUGAGCAGACUGAUCCAGGAGACGACAGAGAAAAGGUGGAUCUGGAGGGAUCCUGCCCUGUCCCAGGAUUGGGAGAAUUGAGAGAGGCUCCGGAUUCUUCUUCAUUGUCUUUGGUUGUGCCUCGUGACCUCAGACAGACCUGGGCCUCUGGUUCGCUAGGCUGCAGCUGUGUGCUCAGAGCCACUGCCCACCGCUUAACGUCAUAGUUCUCAGGGGACCUUCCAGGAAUACUCAGAGGACAUAUGUCUGUGACUGCACUGUCCAGGGUACCAGCCACUGGCCAUGUGGCUACUGAGUACUUAUUUGGCCAGUCCCAAAUGAGAUGUGUUGAAACUGUAAAAUUUCAAAGACUUAGUACAAA
This 23326-nucleotide long non-coding RNA is filed under the name Homo sapiens (human). Its description in RNAcentral is "HSALNT0141052". Lineage: Eukaryota; Metazoa; Chordata; Mammalia; Primates; Hominidae. The record is from RNAcentral.